GUACUGAUGAAGAGUCGCAAACUAACCAGACGAAACAGCUGUCUGGUAC
This 49-nucleotide non-coding RNA is filed under the name Trichobilharzia regenti. The record is from RNAcentral. Lineage: Eukaryota; Metazoa; Platyhelminthes; Trematoda; Strigeidida; Schistosomatidae.